Molecule: long non-coding RNA, 507 nt
Organism: Microtus ochrogaster (prairie vole)
Lineage: Eukaryota; Metazoa; Chordata; Mammalia; Rodentia; Cricetidae
Exons: 3
Source: RefSeq, a predicted model, not a curated record
CGCAGAGGAUGCUGGGAAGAGGCACAGAGGAAGCAGAGCGGGAUGGACAGCACAUAGAUGUGGAGACCAGAGGGCAAGCUCAGUGACCGUUUCUCGGCUUCCAUCCACCCAUUCUUGAGUCUCUUACUGGGCUAAACUUCAUCAACUGUUGGCAGCUUUGUUCUGUAGACUUCUUCCUCCUGGACAUCAUAGACAGAGUCUCCAUCGCUUGAACACCGCUGCUCUUGGGGCAACAGGAAGAAUAGGACAUCUACCAUUUCUGCCCACAUUUCGCUGACUGAGAUGCAUCAUCUGCCUACAGGUGGGCAAAGAGCCCAGGGUGGGUGUGAGCUGUGCUGUGGUAAGCAUGUCGCUAUGGUUGAGUAUGAAAUGCCUUCCAAAGGCAUCUGGAUUCCAGAAGACAGUAGAGGCUCAGGAGGAGAAAAAGAAGACAGUUCCGUGAUCAGUAUUAGUCACCAGAGCAAUCUAUUCACACAGUUAUGGUCACAGGAUGCAUCUAUACAGGAC